AUUGAACGCUAGCGGGAUGCUUUACACAUGCAAGUCGAACGGCAGCGCGGACUUCGGUCUGGCGGCGAGUGGCGAACGGGUGAGUAAUGUAUCGGAACGUGCCCAGUAGCGGGGGAUAACUACGCGAAAGCGUAGCUAAUACCGCAUACGCCCUACGGGGGAAAGCAGGGGAUCGUAAGACCUUGCACUAUUGGAGCGGCCGAUAUCGGAUUAGCUAGUUGGUGAGGUAACGGCUCACCAAGGCGACGAUCCGUAGCUGGUUUGAGAGGACGACCAGCCACACUGGGACUGAGACACGGCCCUGACUCCUACGGGAGGCAGCAGUGGGGAAUUUUGGACAAUGGGGGCAACCCUGAUCCAGCCAUCCCGCGUGUGCGAUGAAGGCCUUCGGGUUGUAAAGCACUUUUGGCAGGAAAGAAACGUCGCGGGCUAAUACCCCGUGGAACUGACGGUACCUGCAGAAUAAGCACCGGCUAACUACGUG
This 484-nucleotide ribosomal RNA is filed under the name uncultured bacterium. RNAcentral describes it as "partial 16S ribosomal RNA". It matches the Rfam family "Bacterial small subunit ribosomal RNA", at positions 30 to 507 of the family's 1533-position model. The record is from RNAcentral.